Globicephala melas (long-finned pilot whale) is the source of this 463-nucleotide long non-coding RNA. RefSeq lists it as uncharacterized. NCBI's taxonomy places the organism in Eukaryota, Metazoa, Chordata, Mammalia, Artiodactyla, Delphinidae. The record is from RefSeq and is a predicted model, not a curated record.
UUGGGGCAGAAACAUUACUAUCAAAUAAAAAAAAGAGAUAAAGGGGUAAAAGAGGACGGAAGCCCGCAUGCCUAGAGCCCGUGCUCCACAACAAGAGAAGCCACCACAAUAAGAAGCACGCUCACUGCAACAAAGAGUAGCCCUGGCUCAUUGCAACUAGAGAAAACCUACGUGGCAGCAACGAAGACCCAAUGCAGCCAAAAAAAGAAAAAAGAAAAAAAAAGGAGGCAGUAUGCAUCAGGAAAAAGAAACGUGAAAUCACUGGGCUGAUGGUACGUGCUGGAUUAUGAACUGGGGUCCUGACAACAUGUCUUCCAUCCAUGAGAAGCCUUUCCAAGGAGAAUGACCCUGGCAAUAACAGAGAAUGAACCUCGUUUGCAUACCUGGAAAUAACCAGCUUAAGAUAAUGAAUUUGCCAGAGAGACCUAUUUGGGGGUGGCGAAUCCUCCUCCCCUACAGCAGG